GUACAGCUAAUUAAACUGACCGUGCUGUCUGUCCCCUGGGUGCCUGGUGUGCAUGGCUACAGACAGUGAGCAACCUUAGUAAUGUAUGUAGCCUGUGGCUUGUAUGGGCUAUAAUAAAGGACCUUGGGUACAGUC
Small nucleolar RNA from Suncus etruscus (white-toothed pygmy shrew), 135 nucleotides. RefSeq annotates it as small nucleolar RNA SNORA70. The record is from RefSeq and is a predicted model, not a curated record. The transcript has a single exon. Lineage: Eukaryota; Metazoa; Chordata; Mammalia; Eulipotyphla; Soricidae.